Molecule: RNA transcript, 1983 nt
Organism: Culex pipiens pallens (northern house mosquito)
Lineage: Eukaryota; Metazoa; Arthropoda; Insecta; Diptera; Culicidae
Gene name: scoloptoxin SSD20-like
Exons: 7
Source: RefSeq, a predicted model, not a curated record
UACAAAAGUUUUUACAAUUUUUCGUACUACUUCAACAGCUUGUGAAGAAUCUCACUUCCUCGGAAUAUGCAGAGAACAUAAGACUUACGAUUGAUGAAAACAGUACAAAAGAUGGCCCUCAAGAUUAUGGCGGGCAAUUUUACAUAAAGGACAGCCACGGAACAGCUCACAUUUCAGUUCUUGGACCCAAUGGAGAUGCUAUAUCUGUAACCAGUUCAGUUAACUUCUAUUUUGGGGCUGCAAUGACUGGUAAUCGAACAGGCAUCAUUGUCAACAGUGGGAUGGAUGAUUUUUCUUCGCCGGGAUUAUUGAAUUAUUUUGGACUACCGGGGUCGGAGCGAAAUUAUAUUCAGCCACAGAAAAGAGCCCUUUCCUCGAUGGCACCAACGAUUGUUGUAGGUAUGAUGGCACGGAUUAUCUGUGAUAAAAUGGGAAAGACGGAAAUGUCAAAUUGGUAGUUGGAGCAGCUGGGGGUACAAAAAUAACAACGGCAGUUGCAAUGAUAAUUAUCAAAAUGUUGUGGUUCAAUAACGACAUUAAAGAAGCUGUUGACACCCCUCGCAUACAUCACCAGUUGAUUCCAAUGGCGCUACAAUACGAAUUUGGAAAUUUGGACGGAGUUCUGCAAGGGUUAGAAUCAAAGGGUCACAAAACCUUUAGGUAUCGUGAAAGAGGGUCCAUAGUUUGUGGUAUCGCGCAGAAUGGUACUGGAAUAUAUGCCAAUGCAGAUUUCCGUAAAGGAGGCGAAGUUGUUGGGUUUUGAUAAAAUGAGUUUCGAAAAUAUGCGUAAAUUUAAGGUAGACUAAUUUAAAUCUGACUUAAAGGUUAUAACACAGACAACAGACGUUUUGGCUCGAUAACCACCUUGUGUAAAAACAGGGGGGCGACAUCUAUAUCUCACUACAGGCAGCUCGCCCGUAGCCAUCACAAGCUGUCAACUUCGGCACCAGAACAAAAUGUAGCUGUCAACUUAGGCACCAGAAAAAAGAAAAGCUGUUCGUUGCGGAACCAAAACAAAGCAAAUCCGCACUGUAAAAAAAGUACAAAAACUGCAGGCAUAAAAUGGAAAUAAAGUGAUUAUUGUUUUAAGUACAAUUUUACCGCAAUGUACGUUUAAAAGUUAGUGUAUGUUUUUGAAGUGAUUUUUAUCAAUUUAUUUGCAAAAUAAACUACUAAAGUUAAGAUUAUUAAGCACACAUCGGGCCAAUGACCUAAUUUAAAGUUGUACUUUUAUCACAUGAAACGUUUUAUUUAACUACUGUGUAAUUUGAGUUUUUCUACAGCAAUUCUUAUAACAAAUAAUGAAUUAUUAAUAAAACAAUACUUUUGUUUUCACUGUGUGCAGUUUGCGCGCGUUAUUAAUCUCAACCAGCCAAGAUGGCGGCCUUUAGCAUCCCCCUGUGUAAAAACAUGCAACGGUUUUAUUGAGAAUGGCAAGCCAUUUGUGGCGCUGUCGUCGCAGAGGAGAUUUGACAACUCUCUCGCCCUGCUCUUAAGUGUAAACUACAACAUUGAAAAGCACGUGAUUGGCCGUAUUCUCACUCUCAUCAAAAGUUUGAUGCCUCUUUUCGUCCAGAAAAUUGGUAUGUUGAUCAAAAAUAGUUUUGAAAUGUCGAAAGUAAUUAUUUUGAGUAUCGCUUCAGAUAAAAGUUAGUUAAUUUCAGAGCAUAAAAUUAAAUUUAUUUAAAAAGAAAACUAUGUAUCAUCAAAAUUAAGUUGGUGAGAAUCAGAAGACGGCUCCUGCGGAGACUGUAGUGCACUGCAGUCUACAUUCAGGCUUAUUCUUGCAAGUAGCAAUAGACUACGAGAUUGCGUUAGUGUUUUUACACACGAUUUUCAAAUUAUGUUGUUCUAGCUGCUACGUCUGUUGUCUGUGGUUAUAAGACUUAACUUUAAAAAAAAAUAUGAUUACAUUGUAUUAUGUUCUGAAACCAUCAUAGCCUGAGCAAUUUAAUUUAGCGAGAAAACCAUAACACUUUUUUU